RNAcentral lists this ribosomal RNA (489 nucleotides) under Oligosoma sp. Sinbad Valley. RNAcentral describes it as "partial 16S ribosomal RNA". It matches the Rfam family "Bacterial large subunit ribosomal RNA", at positions 1914 to 2612 of the family's 2925-position model. Lineage: Eukaryota; Metazoa; Chordata; Lepidosauria; Squamata; Scincidae. The record is from RNAcentral.
GAAAUACUUUAAACGGCCGCGGUAUCCUAACCGUGCAAAGGUAGCGUAAUCACUUGUCUUUUAAAUAAAGACUAGUAUGAACGGCCUAAUGAGGGCAGACCUGUCUCUUUUAAUUAACCAGUGAAACUGAUCUUCAAGUACAAAAGCUUGAAUAAACACAUAAGACGAGAAGACCCUGUGGAGCUUAAAACUAAUACUAUUAAACCAAACAUAGCGCAAGUUUUAAGUUGGGGCGACUUCGGAACAAAGUAAAACUUCCGAGCACAGAGCCAACCCUCUAAUUAAGACCAACAAGUCAAAUAAAAUCCUGAUCCAGUCCUACUGAACAACGAACCAAGUUACCCCAGGGAUAACAGCGCUAUCUUCUUCAAGAGUCCAUAUCGACAAGAAGGUUUACGACCUCGAUGUUGGAUCAGGACACCCAAAUGGUGCAGCAGCUAUUAAAGGUUCGUUUGUUCAACGAUUAAUAGUCCUACGUGAUCUGAGUUC